GAGUCACAGUUUGGUUUCCUUAAAAAAUCUGCAACCAGUGAAAGAAUCUGAGUGGGUGGUCCGAAAAACAACUGUAAAGUACCAAACAUAGAGAAAGAACAAGAAAGAGAGAGACCACCAUGGCAUACCACUUCUGGAGAUGAGACCAAUCAGUCUUGAUCCUUCCAAAAGAAGGGCUUCAUGGGAAAAGACGAGGAGGAGGAAGAAGAAGAAGCUGAAUCCACGUUGUGCUGUUGUCUCUGCAAGUCAGAAGAAUCAUUAAACUGUUGUUGAUUUGGAUUGCCAAAAGGAAUGUGUGAUUGCAAUAACAGAUUAUUAGUGGUGUCCAAAUCAUCCCACACUGGACUUCCCGGUCCCCAUCCUGCUGGAAUUGCAUUGAACCAAGCUUCUGCCAUGUCUCCCCA
RNAcentral lists this unclassified non-coding RNA (404 nucleotides) under Hevea brasiliensis (rubber tree). The record is from RNAcentral. Lineage: Eukaryota; Viridiplantae; Streptophyta; Magnoliopsida; Malpighiales; Euphorbiaceae.